GAUUGGUACAGAGACAGACAGGUCAAUCAAUGGAGUAGAAUUAAGACUCAGAAAUAACCCCAUACACCUUUGGACGCUUGAUUUUUGACAAAGAAGACAAAAACCAUAUAGUGGAAUAGAAAAAGCAUCUUCAACAAAUGAUGCUAGUCUAACUGGAGCUCUGUAUGUAGAAGGAUGCAAAUUGAUACAUAUCUAUCACCUUGCACAAAGCUCAAGUCCAAGUGGAUCAAGGACCUCAACAUAAAACCAGAUAUACUGAAUCUAAUAGAAGACCAAGUGGGAAAGAGCCUUGAACGCAUUGGCACAGAAGAAAAUUUCCUAAACAGAACACCAAUUACUCAGCCUUUAACAUCAACGCUUGAUAAAUGGGACCUUUUGAAACAGAAAAAGCUUCUGUAAGACAAGGGACACUGUCACUAUGACAAAACAGCAGCCUACAGAUUAGGGAAAGAUCUUCACUAACCCUACAUCCGAUAGAGAGGGAACAUCCAAAAUAUAUAAAGAACUCCAGAAGUUAGGCUCCAAAAACCCAAAUAACCCAAUUUUAAAGCGCAGUUCUGUAGUGUGUAAUUAUUAAAAAAAAAACAAUC
RNAcentral lists this long non-coding RNA (590 nucleotides) under Rattus norvegicus (Norway rat). RNAcentral's name for it is "long non-coding RNA NONRATT006719". Lineage: Eukaryota; Metazoa; Chordata; Mammalia; Rodentia; Muridae. The record is from RNAcentral.